This 497-nucleotide ribosomal RNA is filed under the name uncultured bacterium. Its description in RNAcentral is "partial 16S ribosomal RNA". It matches the Rfam family "Bacterial small subunit ribosomal RNA", at positions 28 to 507 of the family's 1533-position model. The record is from RNAcentral.
GAUGAACGCUGGCGGCGUGCCUAAUACAUGCAAGUCGAGCGAACGGACGAGAAGCUUGCUUCUCUUAUGUUAGCGGCGGACGGGUGAGUAACACGUGGAUAACCUACCUAUAAGACUGGGAUAACUUCGGGAAACCGGAGCUAAUACCGGAUAAUAUUUUUAACCGCAUGGUUCAAAAGUGAAAGACGGUCUUGCUUUCACUUAUAGAUGGAUCCGCGCUGCAUUAGCUAGUUGUUAAGUUAACGGCUUACCAAGGCAACGAUGCAUAGCCGACCUGAGAGGGGGAUCGGCAAAACUGGAACGGAGAAACGGUCAAGACUCCUACGGGAGGCAGAAGUAGGGAAUCUUCGUAAAUGGGCGAAAGCCUGACGGAGAAACGCCGCGUGAGUGAGGAAGGUCUUGGGAUCGUAAAACUCUGUGAUUAGGGAAGAACAUAUGUGUAAGUAACUGUGCACAAAGUGACGGUAACUAAUCAGAAAGCCACGGCUAACCACGUG